Molecule: long non-coding RNA, 5795 nt
Organism: Humulus lupulus (European hop)
Lineage: Eukaryota; Viridiplantae; Streptophyta; Magnoliopsida; Rosales; Cannabaceae
Exons: 3
Source: RefSeq, a predicted model, not a curated record
UUUGCCAUGGACACGGAGUGAUUAGAGAGCAGAGGAAACCCAAAGAGAGAAGUGUUGACCUUGAAUCAACCCACCAUCCAAACUGAUGGAACUGCCAAUUAGGAUCACUUGAAUGAAGCUUAUGAUCAUUGUGGUGAAGUCUUUGCUGAGUAUGCCAAACUAUUUAAUUGGGUACUUUCUUUUCUUAUUUUUUAUGUUUGAGUCAUUUUUUUUUUCUUUCUUUUUUAUUCUAAUCGUCUAUACAUAAACAGUGGAUAAGGCUUUGAUUAUUAAUAUGUUUAUUAAAUUUUUACGAUUGGUAUAAUCAUAUCUCUGUCCAUUUUUGUUUAUAUAGAUGAACGCAUAUAAAUUAAUCUCUAUGUGUUUUCAUAGAUUUCUAUUAACAUUAUUUUGUUAUUUAAAGCUGGCUGGUUGUUCAUCAAAAGCAACUUGUUUUGAUUUAGAAAAACAAGCAAUAACGUGAUAAUUUAAUGUGAGAAUCUGAAGGAAAUUACUAUAUGUUUCUGUGUAAUAUGGUUAAUUAUAUAGUUUUUUGGCUCAAAGGUUAAUAUCUUUAUAUAUAUAAAUAUUUAGGAGCCAUAUCACCAUAUCAGUCGUCUCACCUUAUGAUCGCUACAACUUCUAUCGUGAGUCGCAUCUUGUCUCUCUCAUAUUUUAGGUUUAUCCUUUUUCUUGUAUCCUUUUAGAUUUGUUUUGGGUGAUUUUAUUUUGUUUUCUCUCUUCUUUGAUAUUUUUGUUGAUCAUUACUUUGAUUUGUUAAAUAGUUAUUGUGCACAUUAGAUGAGACACCAAUCCUCAACAAUAUUUUUUCACAUUAGUUUCAUUAUGCAAAGUCAAAAUUAUACUUUAUGUGGAGAUCUAAGUCUAGCAGAACAUUUCCAAUUACUGCUACUAUAUGGUUUCACUUGUUAGUGUUUUCUUGAAUUAGCUUUUUUGAUACACACGCAAAUUCUUUAGUUAAGGUAAAAGUUUAUUUAUAAAUGUGGUAUCUUUAAAACUCUUUUCAAUGCAUCCAUUUCCUCUUUUAUUCAUUAUUUCUGUUGUAAAAAGGUUUAUUGUUGCUUACAAGUAUAAGUGCUUAGAUUGGUAUUACUAUAUAUUUAAUAUAUUAUUUUCUUUUUUAAUUCAUGCAUGUGUGUUGUUGUUAUAUGUCCAAUUGUAUAAUAGUAUUGGCUAUCAUUUGGGUCAUUUUUUUUUUCUUCUGAGUUCAGGCAUAGUUGCUCAAAGUUUGAAAAACUGUUUGAAAUCUUUAGGUUUUGCUUAGACUAACCACUAUCAUCAAUAAUUAGUUAUAGUAAAGAGUGUACCGAUCAAAGAAAAGCAUUAAUCAUAAUAUUGAAACAUACAUAACAUAUAAAAAUAUACUGGUCCACCGAUCAAACAAAAAUGAAAUGAGAUUGAUAUGCUAUGUUAUUUCUAUAAUUAGUUAUUUACUGCAACAAAUCUCUCUGAGAUUGAUAUAUUCUACUUUAAAGCUUUGAAGAAUAUAUGUAAAGAUGAUUGAGCAAGUGAUUCGCAGAGAAAAAGAUUAAGGUCUAAAAAGGAUAAACCUUUAGAAGGUAAGCUAAGCAUUUUUUUUCUUUCAAUUUUCUCUUCCAAAACCCCUCUUUCAUGAGUAGGUUGUUCUAUACAGAGACAAUAUUAUAUUUUUUAUUUUUUGGUCAUUAUAUUUUGGUUCAUUAAAUGAUAUCCACCUCACGUCAUGGUGCUCACUAGCUUUAGAUUUGUGGCAGUUAGUGAUUCUAUAAAAUUAUAACAUAUUUUGUAGUACUAGUUUGAUUUGUGAGAUUUUAGCUGAUUGGGCUUUUUAUAUGUUCAAAUGAUUUCCCUAAAAACCUCUAUUUUAUAAGUUCUAGUCAUUAGUUUUCCUUCUUAAUUUCUUAUUUCUUUUUUCAUUUACUUAUUUGUUUAUGGUCGGAUCUAUUAUUGGGCAUUAUUGUUAGUGUUUAUUUACUCUCGUUCUUCUAUGCUUUGUAUGGAACAAUUCAUUUCCAAUUUAUUUUAUGUUCAAGCAAAAUCAAAUUUUAUUCUUUCUCAUGUCAUUAAAAGUUUUACAUCACUGUCUUUUUCUUUAUAAUUUCAUUUUAGCCAAAUAAGAAGAUUUAACUCCAUCUCUAUUUUGUUUCUCUCUACGUUCUUUAUUUCAAAUGGUAUAAUGAACCUCUCUCAUGGAUUUAUUUUUCUUGACUAACUUCUCCUAGGUCUUAUUUCGUAAUGAUUUUUGAGAAGUUACAUUUUUUUGGUCUGAUUUUAGUUCUUGUUCUAUUUUGCUUUAUCUUAGCCGCUACUAAAAAAAUGAUUCUUUCUAUAUAUUAUGGUGUUGUUAUGAGGUUUUGGUUAUUUAUCUAUUUUUUAAGGAAUUUGUUAAUAAAGGAAUUUGUAGGAAAAAUCACAAGGAGACCAUUAGUUAAGCAACGCUGUUGGGAGUUCCUUCAUAUGCCAAAGAAAAUAUUCACUGAGUUUGGUAUGUUCUUUCCAUCUUCUUUUAUUUUGUUUGGCUGUUUUGUGACAUAUUACUCUUUGUUUGUUGCUACUUGUUCGUAGGUGGCAUUUUAUGAGAGUGAGGUGUUUGAUUUUAUGUUGGCAUUUUAGGCAUAAAAACGUGGGGCAUUAAUUAAGUAUUUAAGAUUUUGUUUUUUCACAUUUUCCAAGCAAGAAUACACAUGCAGUUGUUUAGAGUUGAUUUUUUUUGUUUGUUUUUUUUGUUUAAGAGACUUUACAAAUCUAAGCUUGAUAUUUUUGUUCAAUGGUAAAUGCAGAUAUUAAAUUUGGGUUUGUUGGCAGAAAUUUGAGUUCUGUGUAUUAUGCUUGGAGUUUGUACUAAUUUCAAUAACAAGAAUAAUAGUUGGUUGGUUAUUUAGUUUACUUGAUUUUCGUAUGCAUACACAUAUUUUAAAUAUAUAUUUAUAUAUAAAUAGUUUUCUAGGAGUUAAGUCAAGCUUUAUCAUCAUAACUUAUUUUUUAGGAGUUUCUCUUCCAUUUAAAUAUAUAUAUAAUACUCUUUAGACCAAAGCAAUGUAUACACAAUACUCAAUAUAUAUCUCAAUUUCUAAAAAAUCAAGAGUCAAGACUCAAUAUUAUAGAUAUGAAGUUCUGUAUAUAUAGGAACCGAAUGUGUCUUGGUUGUUUUAUUAAGAAUGUGUUAUGUUUUUUCAGAUUGAUAUUUUUUUUUAUAAUCUCCUUGUGUAAAUUUCAUCACAUUUACAUUUUGACUUAAUUAUUAGCAUAUUUAUUUUGUUGAUCUUUCUUGUUUAGAAUGUACUAAAUAGUUUGUGGAAAUGCCCAUGACUUCACAAAUAAAGUAAACAAAAGCACUUUAUAAUAUUGCAUAUUAGCCAUUAUGAAAGCACUCUAGUCCUUAAAUUUGUAGAGGCAAGUGUGGAGUCUUGUAAUGGCUCUUAGUCACAUAUAUAUCUUAUUGCUGCAAAAAAUAUUAAUAUAUAUAUAUAUUAUUAAUUAAUGUCAUAAAGUUAUUUAACUGGUUAAGAUAUUUAUUUGAUAUUAUGUACAUAGAGUAGUGCAUUUGCAGAGACUACUCUGAGUGCAUUGAAUAUAAGAGAAAUUGUUGGAAAGCAUAAUAUACUAGAGCCAAAGUAGUCUUAGGAACAUAAAAUGUUGGUAAUUUUCAAGUAGUCUUGUGGCAUCAACAGGGACACUUUUGUGUUUUUUUUUAUAGCAAAAGUUUAGAAUCUGGGUUUUUUCUUGGGAAAGAAACUAAGAAAGAUAAUAAGUACAAGAAUGGAUUUUGUAUGAAAAGAAGGGUGUACUUCUUGGUGUUCUUGCUAGAGAGUUAUAUAUAUAUAUAUAUAUUCUAAUAUAUUAGUUAAUGUUUUCUUUUAGUUUGUAGCCAUGGUAUUUGAUCAUUUGUUACUUUGCAUUUGCACACCUUUUGGUUUCUUUUUAUAAGUGUAGAACUGAAAUCCUUGAAGGGUAUUAGAUGUAAUCUAUCUUGUUGCACUGAACUUCAAGAAUAAUUUUCUUGUCUUUGGUUUGCUCUUAAUCUAAUUUCAUGGCUUUUGAGGUCUCUGUUAUAUUAUGUUGUGAGACUUACAUGCUCUUAGACUCAAUAUGAGACAAUGAAAUAAGUUAGUUACUGCCUUUUAUGACUAUUUUAAACAAUGAAAUAAAUUAGUUACUACAUUUAUGACUCUAUUUAAGAUAAUGAAAUAAUUUUGUUGCUUAAGUUCAUAGCUUUGUUGGGGAUCCAAUGGUCAAAUGUUUUCUCCUUUUGUUUCAGAAAAAUUUGGAACUGCUUGGUUAACAAUCUAAGGCCUACAUUUUGCAAUACUUAAAAGAUUCAAAGUAUUAUUGCUGAGACAAGCUAAUGGUCUUAUGCUCUCUAUUGGUUUCUUUUUUAUUUAGAAAUGCUUUUGUUUCUGCCGACAUAGAACACAUUCUGAAUGAUGAUUCUUCAUUUUUAUUCAAUACUAUCAGUUUCGACUAUUCUUUUCCUUAGUCCCUAUAAUAAUAUGAUAACCAUAUAUACCGAAAAAUUAAUAAAUAACAUAUUUUUUUUGCUUAUUGUAUCAUUUAAUUUUAACUUUGUAUUAAUCUUUUAAUCUACUUCAUCUCAAGGAAUUUUUAAGAAUGAGUAUAUAUCCCAUUUCUAUACAGAUUUCUCUUCUGUUAAGAGAACAAAAUCGCAUUCAUGAAGCACAGUGGAACUCAAAACAGUUAUGACAAUGUCUGUAAAAUUAUUCUUCACUUUGUCAGCACUCAAUAGGGGAAUUCAUAUGCAAUAUAUGGUGUCUUUAUCCUAAUUUUUCUUUUAAAACUACAAAAACAAAGAAUCAUUUGAAACAGUUGGGGAUUUUGGUACCGAUGGGUCUCUGAAGCCUGCUUUGUUUGGUUUGUCUUGGACCUCUUGCGCUUUUCUAUUUCUCUUUUUAGAAGAAUCACUAUUUUCAUUUCCAUCCUAUAAAAAGGUUUAAUUUUUAUUCCAACAAUGAUUCAUGAUAGAAAGAAAACAGCAAAAACAUCACUUGCAUAUAUUUGGAUAAAGUUUAGUUCAUUCAUUCUUUAUUCUCUUUGAUGAUAUGUGGACACAAACAUUUUACACAUGAACUCCUCCAAAGCAAGUAAACUACCACAAGAUUAUUGAAGCCGCAACUAACUAUAUAUAUAUAUUUAGGGUUUAAUUUAUAUCUAUUACUUAGCCACAUGAACUCCUCCAAAGCAAGCAACUUAUUGUGUGUUGCUUGAAUUUUUUUACUUGGUAUUGAUAAAUGGUUAGGUAACCUUUAGAUGAGAAAUGAUGUCAGAUUUUAUCUAGAAUUAUGUAUUAUCUUCUUUCAAAUAAAUUGUGUUUGCUUGAAUUGGUUUGAUUAUAUUGAUAGAUAUCUCGCCUGGGGUGUGAAUAAGGGUAGUUUUCACGUCCCCAACCUUAGGGUUUAAAUAAUAAAACAUUAUACAUAUGAGUUGUGAUUAGCUUUUUUAUAUCAAUUGCGGAAGGUCGUUGGGAUUCUAGUGAUCCAGACUCAGAGGUGCACAAAAUUCCUCUUGGACCAGAUUUUAUGCGUGUAUGGGUUCAUGUUGCUGUUGUGCCUGGUGCUUAUUUAUUUUGUCCUAACUAUGUGAUGCUUACUAUAUGAGAAGUUUUUGGUUCAAUAGUUGCAUGGCCUUCUCAAAAGGUUAUUCCAAGAGAUUCAACAAGUGAUGUGCAAAAGAAAAUCUGAUUUGGGAGGCUGUGGUGUGCUGACAUUUGGAAGAUCAUGAAUUCCUACCUUUACUUUUGAAUAUGCAAUUGUUUAAGACUAUUUCGUUGACUAUUGUGAGAAUAUUUUGUUUAUGUUAAU